GCAUCCUGAACUCAGAUGUGAUUACCCGCUGAACUUAAGCAUAUUAUUU
RNAcentral lists this ribosomal RNA (49 nucleotides) under uncultured Metastrongylid. RNAcentral's name for it is "uncultured Protostrongylid partial 28S ribosomal RNA". Lineage: Eukaryota; Metazoa; Nematoda; Chromadorea; Rhabditida; Metastrongylidae. The record is from RNAcentral.